RNA transcript from Lineus longissimus, 4103 nucleotides. It is a transcript of the gene named cysteinyl leukotriene receptor 1-like, with no coding region annotated. The transcript is spliced from 5 exons. Lineage: Eukaryota; Metazoa; Nemertea; Pilidiophora; Heteronemertea; Lineidae. The record is from RefSeq and is a predicted model, not a curated record.
GUUGUCGAACGAUUCUUUUACUGCCAUAGACGCCCGUUUUAACGCCAGGACACACACCGCAUGCAGGAUUGCCCCGACUUUUCAAACCAACGAAGACUAUAAAAGCACGGCAAGGGAGAGCAGAGAUGAAGAGCAUGUUGUUGGCAUCGCUGGAUCUACUUGCCCGAGCCGCCGCCGGUACAUGUGACAGCUACGUAGUCGAGAUUCCAUUACUACAGCUAGUAUGAUCUUGGGGAAAUUCAACUUGCAAGAACGGGCCAUUUUUCCAUGGUCAUAUCGAGUUUUGACAUCAUAUUUUGAUACUGUCGAUGCACUGAUGACGCAAUCUAUGCAGACCUCGAGCCCUUUGGGUAAUGCUACGACGGGUGGAAUUCACACACACCUCGAUUCCGACAUGACAACUAAACAGAGUGCUCCUUUUACCAUUAACCUGUUUCCUCACAUGUACGGAGCGCUGGCACCAGUGGCUCUCGGUGUUCCCGGAAACCUCAUGGCAAUACUGGUAGCAACUAGAAGACACAACCGAAAUCUCUCGCCGUGCAUUUACAUGAUGGCAAUGGGCAUAGCGGAUACGGCGCUACUAUUAGAGCUGGCCUGGGCUGUUGGAUUUGCUCUCCUCCUGAGAGACGGCAUUAUCGAGUCAGCCGAAUGGAUUAUGAAAUUUCACGCGUAUGUUCUUUACACAAGUGCCAUGCUGUCAGGCCUGUAUCUGGCGGAGAUGUCCAUUGACAGGAUGUUAGCCGUCAAAUACCCUAUGGCGGCCUCUAGAUUGUGCAGCAGCAUCAGAGCCAAGACUGUCGUCAUCCUCACCACACUCGUCAUUCCGACACUUAAUCUUUACCUUCUGUACAUUGUCAAAGCCAGACACGAUCCUGCUUUAGGAAUUUACUUCGGAACCUUCGACAUCCCUGAUUACCCCGCCUUGGAAGUAUUCACAUCAGCCUACCAGGUAGUCCUGGGGACGGUAUUCCCCUUCCUCAUCAUCUUAGCAUGUAAUGUGGUCAUCAUUGUCACCCUUAAUCGGGCGGUCAAGGAAAGGAACCAAUUAGAAUCGAGGAGCAGCCAGUCUAGCCAGAAACUUCAGAGAGAUACGAACUAUUUGACUAAAAUGUUACUGUUCGUGAGCUUUGCUUAUGUUUUAAUAACUUUACCAUAUAGAAUGUACCAUUUGGUCAUAAAGAUACCCGAAGUUGCCCUACUGUUCGGCGAUCUACGUGACACGUUUGCAAGAUUUAAUUACGUGGUACAAGCGUGGUCACUUUUGAACUUUUGGUCUUUUAAUUUUGCGGUGAAUUUUUAUUUAUAUUGUAUUGGUGGUGGACAGAGAUACAGGAAAGACGCAAAAGAUGUUUUACGAAGUUGUUGUACAUGGAAUGAUUUUUAAUAACCUCUUGGAGGUGACCUUUGGGAAUGGCUUUGCAGUGUCAGGCUUGAUAAGUUUUAAUGCAAAACAAAUUAAUCAAAAGGCUGAAACAGAAUUUAACGAAAGAUCACUUUUGGCAUGAGUUGACUAUUUUUGUAUCGGACAAACACUGAAUGCUCAAUACCUUAAUUAAACGAAUUAGAUAUAUCUAAAUUUGUAGUUCUAUCGUGAUGUUUCUAUAAAAGCCUAAAAAUAAUCGUCGCUUCAAACAAACCAUAUCGGUGGUUGGAGUUUAUAUUCAACGUUGAUAUAAACAGCGACGCGGCAAGGUGGCUGAAAAAGCUGCGAGCUUUGAUAUCGAUUCUUUCUGCUUCAUGGACCCGCAUGCAAGCCAAAAUGCAAGGUUGGCCCGACAUCUCAACUCAACGACGACAGAGAAGUGUUCAGUUAGCCUAAGCAGAGAUGAAGACCAUGUUGUUGGCAUCGCUGGAUCUACUUGCCCGAGCCGCCGCCGCCGGUACAUGUGACAGCUACGUAGUCGAGAUUCCAUUACUACAGCUAGUAUGAUCUUGGGGAAAUUCAAUUUGCAAGAACGGGCCAUUUUUCCAUGGUCAUAUCGAGUUUUGACAUCAUAUUUUGAUACUGUCGAUGCACUGAUGACGCAAUCUAUGCAGACCUCGAGCCCUUUGGGUAAUGCUACGACGGGUGGAAUUCACACACACCUCGAUUCCGACAUGACAACUAAACAGAGUGCUCCUUUUACCAUUAACCUGUUUCCUCACAUGUACGGAGCGCUGGCACCAGUGGCUCUCGGUGUUCCCGGAAACCUCAUGGCAAUACUGGUAGCAACUAGAAGACACAACCGAAAUCUCUCGCCGUGCAUUUACAUGAUGGCAAUGGGCAUAGCGGAUACGGCGCUACUAUUAGAGCUGGCCUGGGCUGUUGGAUUUGCUCUCCUCCUGAGAGAUGGCAUUAUCGAGUCAGCCGAAUGGAUUAUGAAAUUUCACGUAUAUGUUCUUUACACAAGUGCCAUGCUGUCAGGCCUGUUUCUCGCGGAGAUGUCUGUUGACAGGAUGUUAGCCGUCAAGUACCCCAUGGCGGCCUCUAGACUGUGUACCACCAAGAGAGCCAAGAUUUUUGUUAUCGUCACAACCCUCGUCAUCCUGACACUCAAUCUGUACCUUCUGUACAUUGGCAAAGCCACACAUGAUCCUGCUUUAGGAAUUCACUUUGCAACAUUCGAUAUCCCUGAUUACCCCGCCUUGGAAGUAUUCACAUCAGCCUACCAGGUAGUCGUGGGGACUGUCUUCCCCUUCCUCAUCAUCUUGACUUGUAAUGUGGUCAUCAUUGUCACCCUUAAUCGGGCGGUCAAGGAAAGGAACCAAUUAGAAUCAGGGAAAAACAGCGAGAAAUUCAAGAGAGAUACGAACCAUUUGACUAAAAUGUUACUGUUCGUGAGCUUUGCUUAUGUUUUAAUAACUUUACCAUAUAGAAUGUACCAUUUGGUCAUAAAGAUACCCGAAGUUGCCCUACUGUUUGGCGAUCUACGUGACACGUUUGCAAGAUUUAAUUACGUGGUACAGGCGUGGUCACUUUUGAACUUUUGGUCUUUUAAUUUUGCGGUGAAUUUUUAUUUAUAUUGUAUUGGUGGUGGACAGAGAUACAGGAAAGACGCAAAAGAUGUUUUACGAAGUUGUUGUACAUGGAAUGAUUUUUAAUAACCUCUUGGAGGUGACCUUUGGGAAUGGCUUUGCAGUGUCACGUUUGAUAAGUUUUAAUGCAAAACAAAUUAAUCAAAAGGCUGAAACAGAAUUUAACGAAAGAUCACUUUUGGCAUGAGUUGACUAUUUUUGUAUCGGACAAACACUGAAUGCUAAAUACCUUAAUUAAACGAAUUAGAUAUAUCUAAAUUUGUAGUUCUAUCAUGAUGUUUCUAUAAAAGCCUAAAAAUAAUCGUCGCUUCAAACAAACCAUAUCGGUGGUGGGAGUUCGACGUUGAUAUAAACAGCGAUGCGGCAAGGUGGCUGAAAAAGCUGCGAGCUUUGAUAUCGAUUCUUUGUACUUCAUGGACACGCAUGCAAGCCAAAAUGCAAGGUUGGCCCGACAUCUCAACUCAACGGCGACAGAGACGUGUCCAGCUAGCCUAAGCAGAAUUGAAGACUAGGCUGCGGGGAUUGCUGAAUGAACUUGCCUUGACUGCCGCCUUUGUGACAGCUACAGAAUUGAGAGUUUGUGGCUAAUAUCAAACGCAGAAGAACAACAACAUCUUAUAUUCAAUGUCUGAUUAGCGCUGGUCACUGCCAACACUUCCACAGACCAUUAACGGCACAAAGUUGAAUCAAAGAGAUAUCAUGGGAUUGUAUUCUAUCUGACACUGCAGUCAUCAUGUUUUGAUACUGUCGGUGCAACAAUGACGUAAUCUAUGCAUUACUCUGGUGCUUCGGGAGAUACUACGAGGGAUGGAAUUCACACACACCCCGAAUCCGACAUGACAACUGGAGAGAGUGCUCCCUCUACCAUGAACCUAUUUCCUCAUAUGUACGGAUGGCUGGUACCAGUGGCACUCGGUGUCCCCGGAAACCUCAUGUCAAUACUGGUAGUCACGAGGAGACAUAACCGAAAGCUCUCGCCGUGCAUUUACAUGAUGGCAAUGGGCAUAGCGGAUACGGUUCUGCUAUUAGAGAUGGCCUGGGCAGUUGGAUUUUCUAUCCUCCUGAGAGACGGCAUUAUCGAGUCCGCA